AGAGUUUGAUCCUGGCUCAGGACGAACGCUGGCGGCGUGCUUAACACAUGCAAGUCGAACGGAAAGGUCUCUUCGGAGAUACUCGAGUGGCGAACGGGUGAGUAACACGUGGGUGAUCUGCCCUGCACUUCGGGAUAAGCCUGGGAAACUGGGUCUAAUACCGGAUAGGACCACGGGAUGCAUGUCUUGUGGUGGAAAGCGCUUUAGCGGUGUGGGAUGAGCCCGCGGCCUAUCAGCUUGUUGGUGGGGUGACGGCCUACCAAGGCGACGACGGGUAGCCGGCCUGAGAGGGUGUCCGGCCACACUGGGACUGAGAUACGGCCCAGACUCCUACGGGAGGCAGCAGUGGGGAAUAUUGCACAAUGGGCGCAAGCCUGAUGCAGCGACGCCGCGUGGGGGAUGACGGCCUUCGGGUUGUAAACCUCUUUCACCAUCGACGAAGGUCCGGGUUCUCUCGGAUUGACGGUAGGUGGAGAAGAAGCACCGGCCAACUACGUGCCAGCAGCCGCGGUAAUACGUAGGGUGCGAGCGUUGUCCGGAAUUACUGGGCGUAAAGAGCUCGUAGGUGGUUUGUCGCGUUGUUCGUGAAAUCUCACGGCUUAACUGUGAGCGUGCGGGCGAUACGGGCAGACUAGAGUACUGCAGGGGAGACUGGAAUUCCUGGUGUAGCGGUGGAAUGCGCAGAUAUCAGGAGGAACACCGGUGGCGAAGGCGGGUCUCUGGGCAGUAACUGACGCUGAGGAGCGAAAGCGUGGGGAGCGAACAGGAUUAGAUACCCUGGUAGUCCACGCCGUAAACGGUGGGUACUAGGUGUGGGUUUCCUUCCUUGGGAUCCGUGCCGUAGCUAACGCAUUAAGUACCCCGCCUGGGGAGUACGGCCGCAAGGCUAAAACUCAAAGGAAUUGACGGGGGCCCGCACAAGCGCCUCCGCGUGGCAUGAGUGCAUAGCGUCGC
This 954-nucleotide ribosomal RNA is filed under the name Mycobacterium tuberculosis. Its description in RNAcentral is "bacterial SSU rRNA". It matches the Rfam family "Bacterial small subunit ribosomal RNA", at positions 8 to 963 of the family's 1533-position model. The record is from RNAcentral. Lineage: Bacteria; Bacillati; Actinomycetota; Actinomycetes; Mycobacteriales; Mycobacteriaceae.